RNAcentral lists this ribosomal RNA (1346 nucleotides) under uncultured prokaryote. Its description in RNAcentral is "partial 16S ribosomal RNA". It matches the Rfam family "Bacterial small subunit ribosomal RNA", at positions 28 to 1381 of the family's 1533-position model. The record is from RNAcentral.
GAUGAACGCUAGCGGCAGGCUUAACACAUGCAAGUCGAGGGGUAGAUGGGGCUUGCUCCAUUGAGACCGGCGCACGGGUGCGUAACGCGUAUGCAAUCUGCCUUUUACAGGGGAAUAGCCCAGAGAAAUUUGGAUUAAUGCCCCAUAGCGCUGCAGGGCGGCAUCGCCGAGCAGCUAAAGUCGUUACGGCAAAAGAUGAGUAUGCGUCCUAUUAGCUAGUUGGUAAGGUAACGGCUUACCAAGGCGACGAUGUCUAGGGGUUCUGAGAGGAUGAUCCCCCACACUGGUACUGAGACACGGACCAGACUCCUACGGGAGGCAGCAGUGAGGAAUAUUGGACAAUGGGCGAGAGCCUGAUCCAGCCAUGCCGCGUGCAGGAAGACUGCCCUAUGGGUUGUAAACUGCUUUUAUACAGGAAGAAACACUCCCUCGUGAGGGAGCUUGACGGUACUAUAUGAAUAAGGAUCGGCUAACUCCGUGCCAGCAGCCGCGGUAAUACGGAGGAUCCAAGCGUUAUCCGGACUUAUUGGGUUUAAAGGGUCCGUAGGUGGAUAAUUAAGUCAGAGGUGAAAGUUUGCGGCUCAACCGUAAAAUUGCCUUUGAUACUGGUUAUCUUGAGUUAUUGUGAAGUAGUUAGAAUAUGUAGUGUAGCGGUGAAAUGCAUAGAUAUUACAUAGAAUACAAAUUGCGAAGGCAGAUUACUAACAAUAUACUGACACUGAUGGACGAAAGCGUGGGUAGCGAACAGGAUUAGAUACACUGGUAGUCCACGCCGUAAACGACGGAUACUAGCUGUUGGGCUUCGGCUCAGUGGCUAAGCGAAAGUGAUAAGUAUCCCACCUGGGGAGUACGUUCGCAAGAAUGAAACUCAAAGGAAUUGACGGGGGCCCGCACAAGCGGUGGAGCAUGUGGUUUAAUUCGAUCAUACGCGAGGAACCUUACCAGGGCUUAAAUGUAGUGGGACAGGAGUGGAAACACUUUUUUCUUCGGACUCAUUACAAGGUGCUGCAUGGUUGUCGUCAGCUCGUGCCGUGAGGUGUCAGGUUAAGUCCUAUAACGAGCGCAACCCCUGUUGUUAGUUGCCAUCGAGUAAUGUCGGGAACUCUAACAAGACUGCCGGUGCAAACCGUGAGGAAGGUGGGGAUGACGUCAAAUCAUCACGGCCCUUACGUCCUGGGCUACACACGUGCUACAAUGGUAGGUACAGAGAGCAGCCACUGCGCGAGCAGGAGCGAAUCUAUAAAACCUAUCACAGUUCGGAUCGGAGUCUGCAACUCGACUCCGUGAAGCUGGAAUCGCUAGUAAUCGGAUAUCAGCCAUGAUCCGGUGAAUACGUUCCCGGGCCU